Molecule: small nuclear RNA, 121 nt
Filed under: Suricata suricatta (meerkat)
Lineage: Eukaryota; Metazoa; Chordata; Mammalia; Carnivora; Herpestidae
Description: U2 spliceosomal RNA (ENSSSUG00005014661.1)
Rfam family: U2 spliceosomal RNA
About the family: U2 is a small nuclear RNA (snRNA) component of the spliceosome (involved in pre-mRNA splicing). Complementary binding between U2 snRNA (in an area lying towards the 5' end but 3' to hairpin I) and the branchpoint sequence (BPS) of the intron results the bulging out of an unpaired adenosine, on the BPS, which initiates a nucleophilic attack at the intronic 5' splice site, thus starting the first of two transesterification reactions that mediate splicing.
Source: Rfam by way of RNAcentral
ACCUCUCUUCCCCCCUUUUGGCUAAUAUCAAGUGUAGUAUCUGUUCUUAUCAGUUUAAUACCCUAUAUCUUUUGAUUGGAGUAUUUAGUCAAUUUACAUUCAGUGUUAUUAUUGAACAUAU